UUGGCCAAGGGGCUGAAAACCUAGAAUCAAGAUGGCAUCCACAUCAGGUCCAGGGAACCCAGGUCCAAGGGCAUGGGGUGUGGAGCUUCAACAGCAAGAAGCCACUACAAAGCCACUGCAUACAGCUUUUCCUCAAGAUUCACCUCAGAGGUGGCCUCCUCCACUGAUCUGAGUUCCCCUGACAGAAGAAGCUGCUCUGUCCCCUCCCCGCUGCCCCCACCUCUUUUCCCAGCCCCGGCCAUCAACUGCUUGAUUGACAGUCGACGUAUUGGUCUCCACCACUGGAUGCCCCCUGCCCACAGCCCAGGGGCUGGCACAUGAUGUCACACAUACUCACAGAUGUUCAACAGGCUUGACGAGGCCUGAGGAUCUUCUCCCACUGUUCUUCAUGAAAGACUCAGAUACUCCUACAUCUGUUAGAACUGGAUAGAGAUCUGACCAUCUAAAUUCUACAUGCUGUGAUCCCAGGGGUCAUCUUGAGACAGGGACCAUGGAUGUAGUCAGAAUAGAGAGAACGCCUCCGGAGGGGAAGGGCAGGAUAUUUGCAAUCAGAGCAAUGUAACUACA
Manis javanica (Malayan pangolin) is the source of this 567-nucleotide non-coding RNA. NCBI's taxonomy places the organism in Eukaryota, Metazoa, Chordata, Mammalia, Pholidota, Manidae. The record is from RefSeq and is a predicted model, not a curated record.